UACGUAGGGUCCGAGCAUUGUCCGGAAUUACUGGGCGUAAAGAGCUCGUAGGUGGUUUGUCGCGUUGUUCGUGAAAACUCACAGCUCAACUGUGGGCGUGCGGGCGAUACGGGCAGACUAGAGUACUGCAGGGGAGACUGGAAUUCCUGGUGUAGCGGUGGAAUGCGCAGAUAUCAGGAGGAACACCGGUGGCGAAGGCGGGUCUCUGGGCCGAUACUGACGCUGGAGGAGCGAAAGCGUGGGGAGCGAACAGG
Molecule: ribosomal RNA, 254 nt
Filed under: uncultured bacterium
Lineage: Bacteria
Description: partial 16S ribosomal RNA
Rfam family: Bacterial small subunit ribosomal RNA
Source: RNAcentral